GAUGAACGCUGGCGGCGUGCCUAAUACAUGCAAGUCGAGCGAACGGACGCGACGCUUGCUUUUCUGAUGUUAGCGGCGGACGGGUGAGUAACACGUGGAUAACCUACCUAUCAGACUGGGAUAACUUCGGGAAACCGGCUCUAAUACCGUAUAAUAUUUUGCACCGCAUUGUUCAAUAGUGAAAUACGGUCUUGCUGUCACUUAUAGAUGGAUCCGCGCUGCAUUAGCUAGUUGGUAAGGUAACGGCUUACCAAGGCAACGAUGCAUAGCCGACCGGAGAGGGUGAUCGGCCACACUGGAAGUGAGACACGGUCAAGACGCCUAAGGGAGGCAGCAGUAGGGAAUCUUACGCAAAGGGCGAAAGCAUGACGGAGCAAGGCCGCGUGAGUGAUGAAGGUCUUCGGAGCGUAAAAAUCUGUUAUUAGGGAAGAACAGAUGUGGAAGUAACUGUGCACAGCGUGACGGUAACUAAUCAGAAAGCCACGGCUAACUACGUG
RNAcentral lists this ribosomal RNA (497 nucleotides) under uncultured bacterium. RNAcentral's name for it is "partial 16S ribosomal RNA". It matches the Rfam family "Bacterial small subunit ribosomal RNA", at positions 28 to 507 of the family's 1533-position model. The record is from RNAcentral.